Molecule: ribosomal RNA, 349 nt
Filed under: uncultured fungus
Lineage: Eukaryota; Fungi
Description: eukaryotic LSU rRNA
Rfam family: 5.8S ribosomal RNA (bases 1-121)
Source: RNAcentral
GCAUCGAUGAAGAACGCGGCCAGAUGCGAUAAGUAAUACGAAUUGCAGGUCUCUGUGAAUCAUCAAAUUUUCGAACGCACUGCGCCCGGGAGCAAUCUCGGGCACAUUCGGUUGAGUGACAAUUUUAAUUCUUGAUACCCAGUAUCACUGUCGGCGGUUUUUUGAUCGAAAUCCGCUCAGAAUCUUUUUCGGAGCCGCUUUCGGCGAGCUUACUUACCCAACCGAAGAGAGAAAUUUUUUCGGCGGUUCGUCGGCAACCCACUUUCGGCAAAGAAUUUCUACACAAAUUUUCUAAACUUCUGUCCUCAGCUCGAGUGUGACUACCCGCUGAACUUAAGCAUAUCAAUAA